This 846-nucleotide ribosomal RNA is filed under the name Salmonella enterica. RNAcentral's name for it is "partial 23S ribosomal RNA". It matches the Rfam family "Bacterial large subunit ribosomal RNA", at positions 1 to 741 of the family's 2925-position model. Lineage: Bacteria; Pseudomonadati; Pseudomonadota; Gammaproteobacteria; Enterobacterales; Enterobacteriaceae. RNAcentral also lists the same sequence under 1 other name. The record is from RNAcentral.
GGGUUGUGAGGUUAAGCGACUAAGCGUACACGGUGGAUGCCCUGGCAGUCAGAGGCGAUGAAGGGCGUGCUAAUCUGCGAUAAGCGCCGGUAAGGUGAUAUGAACCGUUAUAACCGGCGAUACCCGAAUGGGGAAACCCAGUGUGACUCGUCACACUAUCAUUAACUGAAUCCAUAGGUUAAUGAGGCGAACCGGGGGAACUGAAACAUCUAAGUACCCCGAGGAAAAGAAAUCAACCGAGAUUCCCCCAGUAGCGGCGAGCGAACGGGGAGGAGCCCAGAGCCUGAAUCAGCAUGUGUGUUAGUGGAAGCGUCUGGAAAGGCGCGCGAUACAGGGUGACAGCCCCGUACACAAAAGCGCAUGUGCUGUGAGCUCGAUGAGUAGGGCGGGACACGUGGUAUCCUGUCUGAAUAUGGGGGGACCAUCCUCCAAGGCUAAAUACUCCUGACUGACCGAUAGUGAACCAGUACCGUGAGGGAAAGGCGAAAAGAACCCCGGCGAGGGGAGUGAAAAAGAACCUGAAACCGUGUACGUACAAGCAGUGGGAGCCCCACCACCAAAGCAUUUGCUGUACCGCGUUGACGGAGCGAAGCGACGUCAAACCGAUAAAACAGCAGUGUAAAGUGAGCCGCAGGGCGCUUUGCGCGACAGCGCAAAGGCAGGCGGUUUCGCGUAGCGAAAGCGAAUGCUUUGGGGUGGGGUGACUGCGUACCUUUUGUAUAAUGGGUCAGCGACUUAUAUUCUGUAGCAAGGUUAACCGAAUAGGGGAGCCGGAGGGAAACCGAGUCUUAAUUGGGCGUUAAGUUGCAGGGUAUAGACCCGAAACCCGGUGAUCUAGCCAUGGGC